RNAcentral lists this non-coding RNA (50 nucleotides) under unclassified sequences. RNAcentral describes it as "S15-Flavobacteria ribosomal protein leader". It matches the Rfam family "S15-Flavobacteria ribosomal protein leader". The record is from RNAcentral.
UAUAUUUGCAGACAUUUUUACAUAAAAAUUAUUGAAAUAAUAUUGGCAUG